This 243-nucleotide ribosomal RNA is filed under the name uncultured bacterium. RNAcentral's name for it is "partial 16S ribosomal RNA". It matches the Rfam family "Bacterial small subunit ribosomal RNA", at positions 91 to 334 of the family's 1533-position model. The record is from RNAcentral.
UUAAGUGGCGGACGGGUGAGUAACGCGUGGGUAACCCGCCUUGUACUGGGGGACAACAGUUGGAAACGACUGCUAAUACCGCAUAAGCGCACAGCUUCGCAUGAAGCAGUGCGAAAAACUCCGGUGGUACAAGAUGGACCCGCGUCUGAUUAGCUGGUUGGUGAGGUAACGGCCCACCAAGGCGACGAUCAGUAGCCGGCCUGAGAGGGUGAACGGCCACAUUGGGACUGAGACACGGCCCAA